GGACAACCUAACCUAUGGAGGGGGAUAACCCCGGGAAACUGGGGAUAAUACCCCAUAGGCUAUGAAUGCUGGAAUGCUCUGUAGUUGAAAGGUCCGCCGCCAUAGGAUGGGUCUGCGGCCGAUUAGGUUGUUGUUGGGGUAACGGCCCAACAAGCCUGUAAUCGGUACGGGUUGUGGGAGCAAGAGCCCGGAGAUGGAUUCUGAGACACGAAUCCAGGCCCUACGGGGCGCAGCAGGCGCGAAAACUUUACAAUGCGGGAAACCGUGAUAAGGGAACUCCGAGUGCCCGUAAAAUCGGGCUGUCCAUCUGUGUAAAUAACAGGUGAAGAAAGGGCCGGGCAAGACCGGUGCCAGCCGCCGCGGUAAUACCGGCGGCUCGAGUGGUGGCCACUAUUACUGGGCUUAAAGCGUUCGUAGCUGGUCUGUUAAGUCUCUGGGGAAAUCUUCCGGCUUAACCGAUAGGCGUCUCAGGGAUACUGGCAGACUAGGGACCGGAAGAGGUGAGAGGUACUCCAGGGGUAGGAGUGAAAUCCUGUAAUCCUUGGGGGACCACCUGUGGCGAAGGCGCCUCACCAGGACGGCUCCGACAGUGAGGGACGAAAGCUGGGGGAGCAAACCGGAUUAGAUACCCGGGUAGUCCCAGCUGUAAACGAUGUGCGUUAGGUGUAUCGGUGACCACGAGUCACCGAGGUGCCGAAGAGAAAUCGUGAAACGUACCGCCUGGGAAGUACGGUCGCAAGGCUGAAACUUAA
Molecule: ribosomal RNA, 752 nt
Filed under: uncultured archaeon
Lineage: Archaea
Description: bacterial SSU rRNA
Rfam family: Archaeal small subunit ribosomal RNA
Source: RNAcentral